Cebus imitator (Panamanian white-faced capuchin) is the source of this 2261-nucleotide long non-coding RNA. RefSeq lists it as uncharacterized. Lineage: Eukaryota; Metazoa; Chordata; Mammalia; Primates; Cebidae. The record is from RefSeq and is a predicted model, not a curated record. The transcript is spliced from 4 exons.
GUCACAAAGAAUAUUUUAGAUGUACAGGUUGAGCAUCACUCAUCCAAAAAUCCAAAAUCUGAAAUGCUCCAAAAUCCUAAGCUUUUUGAGCACCAAUAUGACACUCAAAGGAAAUGCUUAUUGGUAAGGAAUAUAAUGCAAAUAUUUCAAACUAAAAAAAAAAAAUCCAAGAUCCAAAACACUUCUGGUCCCAAGCAUUUCUGAUAACGGAUACUCAAACUGCAGUUACGUUCUAGAAAGUCACCACAAAUACUGAACUGGUGAACACGAAACCACAGCUGCUGGGGAAAUACAGAGUUAGGUUGUUACAAGCCUCUGUUCACAACAUUUUAUUCAACUCAUCACCAUAUAACCUGUGUUAAGUGUGUUUCUGUUUAAAGGCACCCUAUUUAAUGUAUAUUGCUGAUUCAUUAACUCGGAGCUUAUGACCACCAGUGCUGUAACUCGUGCCUGCAUGAAGCUUCUCUAACACAUGUUUUCUCCGUAAGGCAUGCCACAGGCAUCCUGCACUUAGAAACACUACUCCGCACUUCAGUACUGUGCUUGGGGUCUUAUCAAGCAGUAAAAUCAUCAACAAAAGCACAAAAACAUCUAAGAAUAUGACAUCGAAUAGACCACAGAAAGGACACUUGUUUACAGCAUGAGAGCUUAAACAAGAAGGCAGAGGUCACCCUGCUUGACCUCAGCUGGGAACAGGCACAUCAGGCAACUCAAAUGUUUCCCCACCAUGCACACGUUUUCAAAGGUGCCAUGAGGAUUGAUCUGGGGGCUGCAAAUAUGUGUUAGCAAAUAGGCAAAUUCCCAAAUACACAAACCACAAAUAACGAAGACUCACUACAUAUGCCCAUACCUGUUUAAGGAUUUGCGUGUGCGCGCGCACGCACACACACACACCCCCCUUCACCUGCUAAGGGCAUUAGCGGCUUGAGGACAGCAAACUCCCUCAUACCUGAAUCAUGCCAACAGGUAGAAGCUCUGUCUACUCUUCCAGCCUGAGAAAGCUACUGCCUAUCUGAAGGGGACUUCAUGUUCACAUGGGCACUGCCUCACCAAAGCAGGGCACUGCACAGAGGCAGGAUCCACCCUAGAUGCCUGUUUUUGAUCAGGAGAAACCUGCAGGUCUGACAGCUUAAUGCGAGAAACGGGUUCACUUAAGAAAGAACCACAUUGUUUCAUUAAGACCCCUCGUGGGUCCCUGGGAGCUGGAUACUACCUGUCUCCUACUUCCCUGCUGUCAUUCUCCAGGAGUGCCUCCUGGUCACAGGCUCAGCAAACGCUCACAGACCUCAAGUUCCACGUUGACUCUGGUAUGUUGGCUGCAGAGAAAGGAGAUGGCUCCACAACUCUGCGUACCCCAAAGGCACCUCCUAUCAGUGGCUCCAGCAACGUCGCUGGCUGCUCCAGGGCGUGAUGGAGCACAAACUGCCCAGGAUUGGGGCCAGCUCACCAGCUGCGGAUUUCAUCACCACUCUCCUUGUUUUAGAAACAGAGCCCAAAGACAGGCAUGCAAAUACGCUGUGCUCUGGCCAGAUUUUACAGACACACUAAAAUGUUGGUUCAUAACAUACUCAGCCUCUCUCCUGCACGGGCCACAUGUGCUCGCUCGUGAAGUGUUUUGAUCAGCGUGGGGAGAAGGUACUAUAUUUCAAUGCCUCUUUUUGAUUUUAAGGCUGUAAGACUUUCUUUUGUUUUGUUUUCUGCUAGAGCUAAAAUGCUUUUCUGGGUGAGCAGGAAUAGCCUUUUUGUCUUUUAACAUUUAGCUGAGGGGAAAAAUACUCACUUCCUUGGUCAUCAUGGCAACUGUCAUGCUAGAGGAUUCUAAUACAUACAGAACUGGCUAAGAAGUUAGAGUCCAAACCUAUGACUGCGCCCAGGUCAAGUUUUCUUCCACUCAGCAGUUCAAAGGGCUUACCUGCCCAACUCCCCUGAUGCUCAACUAGGUCUGUGACGAGCCCCCACCACCAGGAAACCUGCGGACAUAGCUAGAUCUCUUCCACUGAAGAACGGGACCUCUCUUGGGAGAAUGUAGGGGUGAGUCCCUAAGAUACCAGGCCAAAUGUGGAUCACUUCCACCAGAAGAGGAAUUCUAUACAUUGAGUGUUACGAAGUACAGGCAGAUUUUGGUAAUGUUUUUUGAUAGAAAGACAAUAAUAAUUUUAACAAGAGACCAGGCAUGGUGGCUCACACCUAUAAUCCCAGCACUUUGGGAGGCUAAGGUGGGUGGAUCACCUGAGGUCAGGAGUUCGAGACUAGCCUGGCCA